UAAUCAAACUUUUAUACCGAAGAUUCAUUAAAAUACUACAAAACAUCAACUAUGCAUAGAAAUAUCAAAAUUACAUCAGAAACUAAAGAUUUCCAAAACAAUCCAAAUGACAAGUUCAAUUGAUUGGGUCACCACUUUAACAUGAUAACAAUCAAUUGAAAAUUUUAACUGUGCAACUAAUAUAACCUACUUGUGCAAACAAGGAAGCACAAGAGGAUUGCAAUGAGAUUUUUCUUUUUUGUUCUUGUGUAUCCAUAACCAACACAAGCAGAGAAAAUGUAAUGGGAAUACAUUACAGAAUAGUUCAAUUUAAAAAUACAUGACUCUUCUAUAAAUUAGCAGGAAGCAACAUCUAUAAUGCACUUCUUCUCAUAAAGAAGUAGGGCACGUCAGGCACUGUGCUUUCAGCCAACGAGCUGUAAACAAUUUCUAUCUUCAUCUCAUGAUAC
Molecule: long non-coding RNA, 449 nt
Filed under: Phoenix dactylifera (date palm)
Lineage: Eukaryota; Viridiplantae; Streptophyta; Magnoliopsida; Arecales; Arecaceae
Description: long non-coding RNA (PDAC_LNC021058)
Source: RNAcentral